GUGUCAGCAGCCGCGGUAAUACGAAGGGUGCUAGCGUUGUUCGGAAUCACUGGGCGUAAAGCGCGCGUAGGCGGCUUUUCAAGUCAGGGGUGAAAUCCCACAGCUUAACUGUGGAACUGCCUUUGAAACUGUAAAGCUAGAAUGUGAGAGGGGAGUGUGGAAUUCCUAAUGUAGAGGUGAAAUUCGUAGAUAUUAGGAGGAACACCUGUGGCGAAAGCGGCACUCUGGAUCACAAUUGACGCUGAGGCGCGAAAGCAUGGGUAGCAAACAGGAUUAGAUACCCCCGUAGUCC
Molecule: ribosomal RNA, 292 nt
Filed under: uncultured bacterium
Lineage: Bacteria
Description: partial 16S ribosomal RNA
Rfam family: Bacterial small subunit ribosomal RNA
Source: RNAcentral